CUAAACCCUGAUCGAGAGCUCUUGGUCGAGGUCUCCAUCGCCCCUUCCAUAUGCGGUCGCCUCCUGCCGCAAUCUGGCUAUGGUCCUGGUUGUGGUCUCCAUCGCGUAACCUAAGUGUGUUCUCCUCCUCGCAGGCAUCUCCUCUCUCUCUCCCCCACAAUUGUCUUUCUCAUGCCUUUCGUUUCAUUGGCGGCGUGUUAGAUCCAGCAGCAAAUCACAUCUCCAGACUAAAUCUAAUUCCACCAAUUCAUGGCGGAUAGGCCUUGGCCUCUUCCUCCUGGUGCCAUUAGCCUCUCUCUCUCUAUGUGUGUUUGUUGCAGAUGAUGGAGAGAACACAACAAGUUAGAUCCAGCGGCAAAUAUGAGAAAAGCAAGAUUUGCAUGUAGGUGAUGAACAUCAUCAAAUUGGAUGCCUCACAAGUUAUACAUAAUUGGGCGUUGCGGAUAGGCCUUGGCCACUUUCUCCUGGUGAUGAACGUCAUCUACUGAUUAUAUAAUUGGGUGCCUCCACUGGUUAUACAAAAUUGGUCGAUGAAGUGCAAUGCAGGACCAUCCACUAUACAGUGAUCUUUUAAACAUCACCCAACCCAAUCUUUUGAUUAGGUAAAUAUAAUGUUGUUUGUCUGCAGUAUGUCAGUUCUAACAUUGUUUAGUCUAUCCAUCCAGUGUGCAUAUGGGAAGCUCUUCUUUGCUGCAGCACCGUCGAGGCCGAGGACGCGGUGAUAAGCUCACCAUUAAGCAACUGGUCUGGUGAUGGAUUAAGUGUGUGAAGAAACUUUUGAUCUAAGGACGACCGGUGAAUCAUUUCGCAGGCUAGCAUCGUUGUUGGGCACAGGGGUUAUUACCAGCAAGGUAGAAAAUACUCAUAUUCCAUGCAAUAGAUUUUUCAUGCAGGAAGAAUUUUUGACCUUAUCCACAAAAGCCACCAGAUCACAAAAUUGGAUGGAUUCUAAUUAACCUUUCUGAAUGCGUGAGACUGAAUUAGAGCAGAACUAUGGCAACCCCGCCAUGCAAAAUAGGCCAUGCAUGAAUCAUAUAUCUCAUCAGGUCACCAUCUUGCCAAACUUUGCACUGCCUAAUGCAUCGGAGGUAAGAGUUGCCUAUCUUCUCUUGAAUUGGUUUUUUGACUGUUAGGGUACUAACAGUCAGAGGUAGUAUAAUAUUUUCUGAUUUUGUAUUGCUAAUAAGUAACAAUUGAAAUUGAUAUCAGUCCAUGCACUAUAAUUUUUUAAGUUAAUCUAGGGUAAAAAUAUGAUAAAUACGUGUUUGGUUUUUGAGAGUAGACAGAUAUGUUAAACAUGUUUUGUUUCUUAUUUUGCAACGUAUAUAUGAUCAGAUUAUUUGUCCAGUAACCCAUACCUAUGUAAACGUAUGAAAUAACUCAAUGGUAGUCAAACCCAAUACACCUCCCGUACCCCAACUAAAUGCAACCGAAUUCCAGGGUGACAUGUUAUUAAGGUCAAUCUUACAUACAAGCAACAAAACUAAGCAUGCACCCAAGAAUAGUCUUCAUUCAGGAAUGAUAGUUACUUUCUUUUACACUGUUCAUUGUUUUGGAACGUGAACAUGAUAAACUUUAUUAUUAAUGUCAUGUCACUACUGGAAUCGCUGAAUUCGCCAAGUUUGCAGCGUACUCAGCAAAGCCUAGAAACAACUUGGCAUUGUGUUUGCCCAGUUCUGUUCUCGGCAAACGACACUUGGUUGGACGGACGUGAGCAAUCUUGAACUUUUCUAAGUUCUUAUUAUUGGGCACUCGACAAACAUUUUAAACAGCCAUUGCUGAGUUUCGAAAAAAGAUAACUCGGCAAACUACCACGUUAGGAAUAACAUGCAUAUUAAAUUGUUGGAAUGACAUAUAUAGGGUGCAGAUAACGGAUACGAGGUAUGUGCAUCGAUUUGUUUGAUUAUAUAAAUAAGAUUUCAGGUAAAUAUUGUAUCAGUAUUUCGCUAUAUAUGGAUUUACGUUUUCUUUUGGUUUCAUUAUAUACAAAAUUAUUUUAGUAAGGUCUCUGUAUAUACCUUAUUAGACAAAUUUCGUGUGAAUUCAAAAUAGAGACUAGAACAGUUUACUUUUGUCUAUAUGUUACUAUAUUAGCAUUUAUUUUUAGGAAAUGAUUAAUAUAAUGAAAGUGAACAUGUUUAGAUCAAUACAUUUUGAUGUGAUCGAAGCAAAGCAGAUGCACCGAAGUGCAACCAUCUCAACAUGUACACAAGCUAAACGGAAUGACCAUUUUCUCUAUGCAUGAUUUAUUUUAUCAGGUAUGGUCUAGGCUUUUGUCUUCUAAUGAAAAAAGUUUUGAACAAGAAAAGAAGUACUUAAAAAUGGUCGCUGAUGCGUGCAUCUAUUCCUUUUCUGUUUAAAAAGGUCUAAUUGUUUGUGUUGUUGAUUUUGUGAGGCUCUUUCAUCUUAUAUAUAAAGUAAACUUCCUAAGUAGUCCAGAGACUGGUCGGAAUAGGUGCCAAGUUAAUGAACAAUCAACAAAAUUUAAUUUCAAUGUGUUGAAGGGAUCAUAUACCAAGAUUUAGAGGUUGUUAAAUAAUUGGAUUAUAUUUAUCUAGAUGGAGAACAUUUGAGUAUAUGCGAGUCAUUUCAUAUUCUGUUAUUUUAAGUAUAAAAUUUUAACUACGAUAAGAUUUGACUGUUGAACAUGUAUGGUCAUAGGACAAGAUGGAACUGUUCCAAUAGAAAUUUGAGAAUUCCCAAUUUAAUUACUCCCGGUAAAUGAAAUGUAGUCUCAAAACUCAACCUGUUGCAGAUUACUAAACUAGCCCGUGCGAAUGCACGGGUUGACGACUAGUUUAUUCAUAAUUUGGUUGCCAAAUCUCAUGCGUGCAAUGCAUGUGUACCUUACUCUACUCUA
Triticum aestivum (bread wheat) is the source of this 2860-nucleotide long non-coding RNA. RefSeq lists it as uncharacterized. The record is from RefSeq and is a predicted model, not a curated record. The transcript is spliced from 3 exons. NCBI's taxonomy places the organism in Eukaryota, Viridiplantae, Streptophyta, Magnoliopsida, Poales, Poaceae.